This 506-nucleotide ribosomal RNA is filed under the name uncultured bacterium. RNAcentral's name for it is "partial 16S ribosomal RNA". It matches the Rfam family "Bacterial small subunit ribosomal RNA", at positions 29 to 523 of the family's 1533-position model. The record is from RNAcentral.
AGUGAACGCUGGCGGUAGGCCUAACACAUGCAAGUCGAACGGCAGCACAGGAGAGCUUGCUCUCUGGGUGGCGAGUGGCGGACGGGUGAGGAAUACAUCGGAAUCUACUCUGUCGUGGGGGAUAGCGUAGGGAAACUUACGCUAAUACCGCAUACGACCUACGGGUGAAAGCAGGGGACCUUCGGGCCUUGCGCGAUUGAAUGAGCCGAUGUCGGAUUAGCUAGUUGGCGGGGUAAAGGCCCACCAAGGCGACGAUCCGUAGCUGGUCUGAGCGGAUGAUCAGCCACACUGGAACUGAGACACGGUCCAGACUCCUACGGGAGGCAGCAGUGGGGAAUAUUGGACAAUGGGCGCAAGCCUGAUCCAGCCAUACCGCGUGGGUGAAGAAGGCCUUCGGGUUGUAGAGCCCUUUUGUUGGGAAAGAAAUCCAGCUGGCUAAUACCCGGUUGGGAUGACGGUACCCAAAGAACAAGCACCGGCUAACUUCGUGCCAGCCGCCGCAGUAA